UCCCUGAUAGCACAGUUGGUAAAGAAUCUGUCUGCAAUGCAGGAGACCCUGGUUCGAUCCCUGGGUGGGGAA
RNAcentral lists this transfer RNA (72 nucleotides) under Bos taurus (domestic cattle). It matches the Rfam family "tRNA". From Rfam's summary of the family: Transfer RNA (tRNA) molecules are approximately 80 nucleotides in length. Their secondary structure includes four short double-helical elements and three loops (D, anti-codon, and T loops). The record is from Rfam by way of RNAcentral. RNAcentral also lists the same sequence under 4 other names. Lineage: Eukaryota; Metazoa; Chordata; Mammalia; Artiodactyla; Bovidae.